Molecule: long non-coding RNA, 754 nt
Filed under: Mytilus galloprovincialis (Mediterranean mussel)
Lineage: Eukaryota; Metazoa; Mollusca; Bivalvia; Mytilida; Mytilidae
Source: RNAcentral
GUAUUGGCAGAUCUCAUUUCUAGUGAUGAUAUUUGACCCCAUUCCCUCAGUCAUGGUCCAUGGAAUGCCAUUUUUAUUUCCACCAAAACACGAUGGUACAUGCGUCCAUGAAGCAAUGUAAUUUUCGUGGUGAAGUUUGUUUCAUAGAAACUAAACAAUAAGUCGACUAUAUUGUGUGUAGGACUACAUGUAUUUCCUGUAUUGUUUAUCUAACCUUGGCCUCUUAUUCUUGUAAAUGUUGUUGUAAAGCUUUAUAUGUUAAGGAAUGGUUAUUAAAGGAGACUGACAUAUUAGUGAAAGAUGAAAUAUGGUCACUUUACAUGGUUUUAAAACCACUAUAACGACCAGGUUGUGCCAUUAAUCAAUUGUUAACAAACUUACUCAUUCACACUUCUUUAUUGGUAAUAAUACGACUAACUGUUGUUCAUAUUGGUGUGACUGAAACCCAACAACAUAACUAAGACAUUUAGCAUUCAGAUUUCCAGUUAAUAACUAGUUCUCAUCGGUGUAUGUUCCAAAAGCGAGCUAAUUGAUUGUCUAUAUUGGAGUUUUUUGGUGGGUACGUUUCACAGACCCCACAAAUAUUCACUCUGUUAUAGUUUUUGUUGAGCCUGCAACUUUUGUUGCAGAAAGCUCGACAUAGGGAUAGUGAUCCGGUGGUGGCGUUAGCUAACUGUUUAAAUUUGUGAAGGUGGAAGACCUGGAUGCUUCAUACUUUGUAUAUAGAUGCCUCAUGUUACAAAGUUUCUGUCAG